GACGAACGCUGGCGGCGUGCCUAAUACAUGCAAGUCGGACGCACAGUCUAUACCGUAGCUUGCUACACCAUAGGCUGUGAGUUGCGAACGGGUGAGUAACGCGUAGGUAACCUGCCUAUUAGAGGGGGAUAACUAUUGGAAACGAUAGCUAAUACCGCAUAACAGUAUGUAACACAUGUUAGAUGCUUGAAAGAUGCAAUUGCAUCGCUAGUAGAUGGACCUGCGUUGUAUUAGCUAGUAGGUAGGGUAAUGGCCUACCUAGGCGACGAUACAUAGCCGACCUGAGAGGGUGAUCGGCCACACUGGGAAUGAGACACGGCCCAGACUCCUACGGGAGGCAGCAGUAGGGAAUCUUCGGCAAUGGGGGGAACCCUGACCGAGCAACGCCGCGUGAGUGAAGAAGGUUUUCGGAUCGUAAAGCUCUGUUGUUAAGGAAGAACGAGUGUGAGAAUGGAAAGUUCAUACUGUGACGGUACUUAACCAGAAAGGGACGGCUAACUACGUG
Molecule: ribosomal RNA, 505 nt
Filed under: uncultured bacterium
Lineage: Bacteria
Description: partial 16S ribosomal RNA
Rfam family: Bacterial small subunit ribosomal RNA
Source: RNAcentral